This 1007-nucleotide long non-coding RNA is filed under the name Salmo salar (Atlantic salmon). RNAcentral describes it as "lncRNA (ENSSSAG00000118749.1)". The stretch from base 322 to 393 matches the Rfam family "tRNA". The record is from RNAcentral. Lineage: Eukaryota; Metazoa; Chordata; Actinopteri; Salmoniformes; Salmonidae.
UUAAAAGAGAAUAGUUAUUUUCAUAAAUGCCUAAAUUUGGAAAUUUCAACACGUGCCAUGAAUAUCUGUAAAAUUCGGUUUACUCCUUGCAGCUGAAUGUAGCAGCAGUGUCUGUAGUGUAGUGGUUAUCACGUUCGCUUUACACGUGAAAGGUCCUCAGUUUGAAACCGGGAGGAAACAGUGCUCUUUGACAUGUGCAGUAGGUACUGUACUAUUAACAGAGAAUAGUUAUUUUCAUAAAUGCCUAAUUUUGGAAAUUUGAACACGUGCCAUGAAUAUCUGUAAAAUUCGGUUUACUCCUCACAGCUAAAUGUAGCAGCAGUUUCUGUAGUGUAGUGGUUAUCACGUUUGUUCACACGCGAAAGGUCUCUGGUUCGAAACCAGGCGGAAACAACGCUCAUUGACACAUACUGAAGUGCCAUAGUGGUAACAGAAAAUUUCAUGAGUUCUUUAUUUUGGAAAUUCGAAUACGUGCCAUGAAUAUUUUUAAAAUUCGGUUUACUCCUUGCAGAAAAAUCAAGCAGCAGUUUCUGUAGUGUAGUGGUUAUCACGUUAGCUUUACACGUGAAAGGUCCUCAGUUUGAAACUGGGAGGAAACAGUGCUCUUUGACACGUGCAGUAGGUACAGUACUUUUAAAAGAGAAUAGUUAUUUUCAUAAAUGCCUAAAUUUGGAAAUUUCAACACGUGCCAUGAAUAUCUGUAAAAUUCGGUUUACUCCUUGCAGCUAAAUGUAGCAGCAGUUUCUGUAGUGUAGUGGUUAUCACGUUAGCUUUACACGUGAAAGGUCCUCAGUUUGAAACCAGGAGGAAACACUGCUCUUUGACAUGUGCAGUAGGUACUGUACUAUUAACAGAGAAUAGUUAUUUUCAUAAAUGCCUAAUUUUGGAAAUUUGAACACGUGCCAUGAAUAUCUGUAAAAUUCGGUUUACUCCUUGCAGAUAAUUGUUGAAGCAGUUUCUGUAGUGUAGCGGUUAUCACGUUCGCUUAACACGCGAAAGGUCCUCGG